CUCAGGAAAUUUUUGGUGACCUCCCACACUGCCUGCCAUACUUUUAGGUAAUUUUUCAUAGCCCCCACUAAACUGCUGAGUCGAAAAAUUAUAACCCCCUUAAAAUCACCAUAGCCCCCCUCUAGUUAAAUUAUGAACGCUCCCUAAUUUAAUCAUUAUCAAGAGUGAUAAUUAUAAUGUUGACUGAAGCGUUUCAUGAUUUAUUCCAAUUUUGGACGUUGCAUGCUAUUGAGAAUUACCAAAGAAUGAUUAUUCAACCGUCUUCAAGAUAAAGCACUUGUUUAUUAAUGCGAUUGAAAGAUCUGCCAUGCAUGCACAGCAUCUUAACCACACUAUCAACAUGUCAAUAUCCGGGUGCCACAAGUGUGCCUUCAUGUCGCCAAUGCACCUGACGUGUUUAAGUAAGCGUUUAGUGAAUCAUUUCCAGCACGCCAAAAGCUUGGUUAUAUCUUCAUUAAUGCGAUAAUUUAUACGUGUUGGUCAAAUAGAU
Non-coding RNA from Paramuricea clavata, 490 nucleotides. The record is from the annotation of a GenBank genome assembly. Lineage: Eukaryota; Metazoa; Cnidaria; Anthozoa; Malacalcyonacea; Plexauridae.